UUAAAACUUAAGAGGAAAGUGGAAUAUAGAGGAAGUAAAUAGGAGAAGAGCUACAAAGAAAAGCAAAAACUGAAAAAAAGGUUUUCAAAUUAUGCUUCAAGGAAUCUCAUUGGCAAUACAGGAAGGCCUAUAAUCCCAGCACUUUGGGAGGGUGAGGUGGGCGGAUCACCAGAGGUCAAGAGUUGGAGACCAGCCUGGCCACCAUGGUGAAACCCUGUCUCUACUAAAAAUACAAAAAUUAGCCGGGCAUGGUGGCAGACACCUGUAAUCCCAGCUACAUGGGAGGCUGAGGCAGGAGAAUUGCUUGAACACAGGAGGCGGAGGUUGCAGUGAGCCGAGAUCAUGCCAUUGCACUCCAGCCUGGCGAUAGAGUGAGACUACAUCUCAACAAACAAACAAACAAACAAACAAACAAAAAAACAAGACAGAAUCUCACCAGGGAAGCCCCUUCUUUAUCUGUUUUAUAUAUUGAACAAUCAAGAUCAAUUCUAGUUGAAAAAAUAAUUAUUGCUUAACAAGUUUUGAAAACCACGGUACUAUACUUUUAAUAUGGUUGAUUAGAAGGGGUCAGGGAAAGGGGUCAGUUCAAACACAAAUGAAGCUAAAUAUGUCUGAAUACGGAGAAAAAAGGAACUCCAAGCAUUGUUUUCAUCAGAACAGUUAAAGACUUGAAGCCUUCUCAAAAGAAGGCCCAGUUGAAACAAUAGUUUAUCAGAGCAACAACUCAGAUUGCCAGUUUGGACAGCACCCAAGUACUACUUAAGACUCCUCCAUUCCCCAGGUUUAUUUUCAGCAUCAUCCUCAAGCAUAAUGUGCUUUCCCAAUGCACUAUUGCAACACCACUACACAUGAGGUAGAAACAGAAACCUUGCUAAACAGGUUCUGCGUUUGGCAAAAGUGCCAUGAAUAUGGGACAUUGUACAUCUCCAUGCCUGGGGAAAAUUCCUCGGUCUUUUUGGUUAACACCUUAUAGAAAUGUAAUGCAUGGAGUUCUCUACAUGAGCACAAAGUAGACUAAUUGAUACGAAGAGCCUGUAAAUAUGUGUGCAGCGGCAGAUUUUGAACAUUUGGACCGAACUGUAUUUGACACAGCGCAAUAUCUGGAACUGGUUGGUCAAAACCUGCUUGUCUUGUUAAAUUUCCUCUGUCCAAGGACAUGGAAUCUCUCUCUAAUUUUACUUCAAAUUUCCCUUUCCUUCAUUUCUCUAAAAACGUUAAAUAAGAAAGAAGAUUGUAAAGCCAGCAUUUGAAGCCUAAGUAUUGAAAGUCUUUGACAAUUUCUGAAAUCAGACUUGACAUCUUUCCCCCGCCUUGCAAAUUUCUUGAAGAAAUAAGAAGCUACAUGUAAGCAUCAUCAUGUUUAUUAAAUUACAAUGAGAACUCUCACUCAAUCUUGACCAGAGCAGACUCUUAACUUGGAAGCAGAGUCCCUCUAAAGGUAACUCUUGUGGUCACUCAAUAUUGUAUUGGCAUUUGCAUAUUAAAUAGACAUUUCAGUAGCAUUUAUUCAAAUUGAAUACUCUCAAUUGAAUUGCUAAAAUAUUGGAGGUGUCCACACUUGAUAAACUACUCAGCUUUUUGCCAUGUAUUUUUCAUAAAUGCAAUAUAAUCUUUUAAAGCACAAUAUUAAUUUUUCUCAAGCCUUUUCCUCAUCUUACCAUCCAAUGAUUUGAUAUACUUUCUUUAAUUCAGUUGAAUAUUUUCUAAUUAAAAAUGUAACAUCAACAAAAAUAACAGGAGUAAGCACCUUGUCUUAUUUACUUCUGAAAUCUAGGGAUAGAGGAGUGCAUGCCAUACAGUUGGCCUUUAAUUAAUAUAUGUUGAAAUAAUUAAUUAAAAGUAUAAAGAAGAAAAUAAAAGUCACUAACAAUCCCACCAUGAAUAAACAGCUACUAUUAAAAUUUGAGUAUUUCUAUCCAAAGUAUGUUUUCUUGAGCAGUAUAUUCAGGACUGACACCUUGCUGAUACUCAGAAGUAUGGCCAUACUAAUUGUUAAUUUACAAAGGAAAAAACAAAAACUGAAACUACAACUAAGCUCCUUAAAGACUUCCAUCUCCUUACUGGCUAGCCUAUCCUUCCCAGGAAACUUUCACCAGGACCAGAUACCUGUAUAGUCAGUCCCUGGAACAACUUGUGACUCUAGAAAACUGCUCCAGAACUAAGGUCUUCGUCUAUUCAAAGUGGCCAGUACUAGAGCCCUAAUAUUUGCCUUUUCAACCUAUAUGUAUUUAUCUGGAACUGGAUAUAGUACCUCAGUUAGAAUGUACUUGUCACCGUAAGUAAACACCGAUCACUAUAAAAUAAAUUACUGACUUCACCUUUAAAAUAAAUGCAAUGAAAAUUAUCUUUUUGAUUAAGUAAUAAUGCUCCUCAGAACAUACAGGAACAGCAGUGUGGUACUGAACAAAGACCAUGGAUUAGAGUAGGGAUGUUCUGGGUUUGAAAGGUGCAUAUAUUUCUAAUCAUCUGACCUUGGACAAAUUACUAAAUGAUGAUAAAAUUCUGCUGUUACUACUUAAUAUGAGAAUAAUAAAACUGUAUUCAUAAGAGUGUUGUACAAA
Long non-coding RNA from Homo sapiens (human), 2561 nucleotides. RefSeq lists it as uncharacterized. NCBI's taxonomy places the organism in Eukaryota, Metazoa, Chordata, Mammalia, Primates, Hominidae. The record is from RefSeq and is a predicted model, not a curated record. The transcript is spliced from 2 exons.